RNAcentral lists this unclassified non-coding RNA (288 nucleotides) under Clonostachys sp. RNAcentral's name for it is "partial contains 5.8S ribosomal RNA, internal transcribed spacer 2, and large subunit ribosomal RNA". The stretch from base 1 to 71 matches the Rfam family "5.8S ribosomal RNA", at positions 84 to 154 of the family's 154-position model. Lineage: Eukaryota; Fungi; Ascomycota; Sordariomycetes; Hypocreales; Bionectriaceae. The record is from RNAcentral.
GUGAAUCAUCGAAUCUUUGAACGCACAUUGCGCCCGCCAGUAUUCUGGCGGGCAUGCCUGUCUGAGCGUCAUUUCAACCCUCAUGCCCCAGCGGUGUGGUGUUGGGGAUCGGCCCGCCCGGGCCGUCCCCUAAAUCUAUUGGCGGACUCGCUGUAGCCUCACUCUGCGUAGUAGUGAUAUUUCGCAUUGGAGAGCGGCGAGCCCCUGCCGUAAAACCCCAACUUCUCAGGUUGACCUCAGAUCAGGUAGGAAUACCCGCUGAACUUAAGCAUAUCAAUAAGCGGAGGA